UACGUAGGGUGCAAGCGUUGUCCGGAAUUAUUGGGCGUAAAGAGCUCGUAGGCGGUCUGUCGCGUCUGCUGUGAAAACUCGGGGCUUAACCCCGGGCCUGCAGUGGGUACGGGCAGACUAGAGUGCGGUAGGGGAGACUGGAAUUCCCGGUGUAGCGGUGAAAUGCGCAGAUAUCAGGAGGAACACCGAUGGCGAAGGCAGGUCUCUGGGCCACUACUGACGCUGAGAAGCGAAAGCAUGGGGAGCGAACAGG
RNAcentral lists this ribosomal RNA (253 nucleotides) under uncultured bacterium. RNAcentral's name for it is "partial 16S ribosomal RNA". It matches the Rfam family "Bacterial small subunit ribosomal RNA", at positions 524 to 776 of the family's 1533-position model. The record is from RNAcentral.